GGCAAGAUGGCCGAGUGGUCUAAGGCGUGUGACUCAAGCGUUUAAGCUUGCCUUCAUCCGAAGGUUUCUCAUGAGGGUAUCCUCGCGGGGGUUCGAAUCCCCCUCUUGUCA
Non-coding RNA from Vararia minispora EC-137, 111 nucleotides. Lineage: Eukaryota; Fungi; Basidiomycota; Agaricomycetes; Russulales; Lachnocladiaceae. The record is from the annotation of a GenBank genome assembly.